Cyprinus carpio (common carp) is the source of this 1567-nucleotide long non-coding RNA. Lineage: Eukaryota; Metazoa; Chordata; Actinopteri; Cypriniformes; Cyprinidae. The record is from Ensembl.
GUGGAUCCCUUUAAGAAACCUACAUGAGCCUAUAAUCGAUAUAAAUAACUUUACAAUAAACGAGAGAAAUUUAGAGUUUUGUUAAUUAUUUAUACAUUUUGUAAUAUAGGCUUAUGUUUAUUAUAGCACAAGUAAUCACCACGUAAGAUCACUACUAUUAUGUGUAUAGCUGUGCCCAUGUGAUAAUUAUUUUUUCAGCUCGAUAAUUAGUACAGCUUUGAAUUGCAUCAGUGCUUUAUUGAUGUCGAUGACAGUCUUCGUUUGUGCUGGGGCCAUAUUCUCACCGAAUACAAUAUAAGGAAUGUAGACUCUUGUUUCCACACACUCGAUCGCAUAUUCAACAAUGAGUCGAGAGUAACUGAAGCAGGAAAAGUAGGGAGAGGCUAUGACGUGAUGCUGAAGAAUAUCUUGAUGGCUGAAAUUAUGCCUAUAGUGGAGGAAUUUGACCAGCAGAAAAAUAAUGGUCACAGGUUUAUCUAAUUACCAUUCUUCAGCAACCAAGUAAUAACUGUGUUUGUUUGGGACCAGACCUGUGACAAUUCAUGAGGCCAUAACUGGUCAUUUCUAAGCAUUCAAUAAUUGAAUUGUGGGGCCCAUCUUUCUUUCAAACUGAGGAAAGUGGAAAAGACAGACAGAGACUGGCAUGAAAUAUCAGGGUGAGAGCCUGAUAGAAACAGACAUGUAAUGUUUGACAUACACACUUUGACUGCAAUUGAGAUAAAUGGCUCUGUCCUUCUCCGCUUCUAAACUUCUCCCUUCUCCUCCCUUCUUUCAGACACAGUGUAUGAGUUCAGGCUACAGGCAGCAGCAGACAAUUUCAUUGCUGCAGCCUCAAGGCUGCCCAGAGCCUCUGGAUGAUUCCCCCCAUGUGGUUUCCAGGUGCAAGGUGCUGUUUAUAACUGCAUGACCUGUCAGUACGACUCAUGUGAGUUCCCGCUGGAUUGCCCUGGUGAGUUGACAGGCUCCUUUACAUGUGUGCAGUUUUGUGUUCAAUAUAUUAUGAUAUGUAAUUCUGUGCAGUCCCCCACUCACCCACUCUCUCCACACUUGACAUGAUGGAUAUGUUAUAACUCAACCUGACAGAACCACCUCUGUAAUUAUGUAACAGCAUUUACGCAGUACAAACAUCUAUUGCUUUUAAAUCUACUUGGGAGCACAGCAAAGUUGUUAAACGAAACCUUGGGCCUUGACACACUUUUACACAUAAUAUAAUUUCUCACAGAUAGCCCUUUGGGUCACCUAAGAUGGCAGGCCUUCUCCCACACACUGUGGUAUUCAUUUCCACUCAGCACAGCUACAAUUAUUGCUCAGUGUUUCUUUUCUUUGGCUGCUCUCACCAGAGGCUUUGCUUAAAUAUUAUAAUUAGGUGAAUGGUGGGCAGACUGUGCUGCCUCUGUUCUUCUGUCGACAAAAGGCAUUCAGUUGCAAGGUGAAGUGUUACAGAUCUGCGUCUAAUGUAUUGCUGUGUGUGUGUGAUGUAUAUGCUUUUACAGUGAAGGAAAUCAAUGUAAAGGAGAACAACAGAACUCAGAUGUGGUGUAAGGUCCCUUUCCUGCUUCCUACAGAU